AUCUCUGCAAUUCUCCCCAAAGUUUCUGAACUGAUGCGACAAGUAUCUCCAUUCAGUGUCCUGAAUUGUUCAAUUACUGUGAAAAUGCACGAUUCUGACAAAGUCGACGAUACUAAUCGAUUUUGUGGCUUCUUUCCUGAAUCGGUGUUGAAUUUGUGUUACAGGUUGUGGAUAUCUUUGUAAUUAAGAGUCCAAUUGUAAUCGAUAAUUUGCAGCUUGAUUUCAUUUAUGGUAAGU
Molecule: long non-coding RNA, 237 nt
Filed under: Olea europaea (common olive)
Lineage: Eukaryota; Viridiplantae; Streptophyta; Magnoliopsida; Lamiales; Oleaceae
Description: long non-coding RNA (OEUR_LNC006099)
Source: RNAcentral